UGGCACUAUUUUGCCAGAGGUGUGUCAUAUC
Molecule: non-coding RNA, 31 nt
Filed under: Rattus norvegicus (Norway rat)
Lineage: Eukaryota; Metazoa; Chordata; Mammalia; Rodentia; Muridae
Source: RNAcentral